This 357-nucleotide RNase P RNA is filed under the name uncultured Phocaeicola sp. Its description in RNAcentral is "Bacterial RNase P class A". It matches the Rfam family "Bacterial RNase P class A". Rfam says of the family: Ribonuclease P (RNase P) is a ubiquitous endoribonuclease, found in archaea, bacteria and eukarya as well as chloroplasts and mitochondria. Its best characterised activity is the generation of mature 5'-ends of tRNAs by cleaving the 5'-leader elements of precursor-tRNAs. Cellular RNase Ps are ribonucleoproteins. The record is from RNAcentral. Lineage: Bacteria; Pseudomonadati; Bacteroidota; Bacteroidia; Bacteroidales; Bacteroidaceae.
AGUUGGUCGGUCUGUCGCUGGUAGUAUAUACAAGAGGAAAGUCCGGGCAACGCAGAGCAUCCUACUUCCUAACAGAAAGCUAUCCGCGAGGGUAGAGUAAUGUAGAAGAAAAUAACCGCCCCCUCCGCAAGGAGCGGCGGCAAGGGUGAGAAGGUAGGGUAAGAGCCUACCAGCUGCCUGGUGACAGGCAGGCUGUACAUCUUAGGAGUUGUAAGGUCAUGUAAACCGGCAUCAACGAGGGUUGCUCGCCCCACGUCGGAGGGUAGACCGCUAGAGCCUGUCGGUGACGGCAGGCGUAGAUAAAUGACAGACACUCUGUAACCCAGAGUACAGAACCCGGCUUAUAGACCGACUGCU